AGAGUUUGAUCAUGGCUCAGAACGAACGCUGGCGGCGCGCCUAACACAUGCAAGUCGAACGCGAAAGUGUAGCAAUACAUGAGUAAAGUGGCGCACGGGUGAGUAACGCGUAGGUGAUCUACCUCUGCGACCGGGAUAACCAGCCGAAAGGUUGGCUAAUACCGGAUAGAGCGCACUGAUUGUAAGGAUUGGUGCGGGAA
Molecule: ribosomal RNA, 200 nt
Filed under: uncultured bacterium
Lineage: Bacteria
Description: partial 16S ribosomal RNA
Rfam family: Bacterial small subunit ribosomal RNA
Source: RNAcentral